Pipistrellus kuhlii (Kuhl's pipistrelle) is the source of this 148-nucleotide long non-coding RNA. RefSeq lists it as uncharacterized. The record is from RefSeq and is a predicted model, not a curated record. NCBI's taxonomy places the organism in Eukaryota, Metazoa, Chordata, Mammalia, Chiroptera, Vespertilionidae. The transcript is spliced from 3 exons.
GGCAGAGGCCCUGCCACCGGCCCCGGCCACGGCGUCUCCUGGCAGCGGGGGGAGAGGAGAGGCUGGCGCGAGGGCCAUGGCCCCGGCGAGCUCGGGGCACGGGGUGUGAGUGGGCCGGAGCGCCAGGCCUGGUCUCGCUGUGACCUGU